AGAGUUUGAUCCUGGCUCAGGAUGAACGCUGGCGGCGUGCCUAAUACAUGCAAGUCGAGCGAACGGACGAGAAGCUUGCUUCUCUGAUGUUAGCGGCGGACGGGUGAGUAACACGUGGAUAACCUACCUAUAAGACUGGGAUAACUUCGGGAAACCGGAGCUAAUACCGGAUAAUAUUUUGAACCGCAUGGUUCAAAAGUGAAAGACGGUCUUGCUGUCACUUAUAGAUGGAUCCGCGCUGCAUUAGCUAGUUGGUAAGGUAACGGCUUACCAAGGCAACGAUGCAUAGCCGACCUGAGAGGGUGAUCGGCCACACUGGAACUGAGACACGGUCCAGACUCCUACGGGAGGCAGCAGUAGGGAAUCUUCCGCAAUGGGCGAAAGCCUGACGGAGCAACGCCGCGUGAGUGAUGAAGGUCUUCGGAUCGUAAAACUCUGUUAUUAGGGAAGAACAUAUGUGUAAGUAACUGUGCACAUCUUGACGGUACCUAAUCAGAAAGCCACGGCUAACUACGUGCCAGCAGCCGCGGUAAUACGUAGGUGGCAAGCGUUAUCCGGAAUUAUUGGGCGUAAAGCGCGCGUAGGCGGUUUUUUAAGUCUGAUGUGAAAGCCCACGGCUCAACCGUGGAGGGUCAUUGGAAACUGGAAAACUUGAGUGCAGAAGAGGAAAGUGGAAUUCCAUGUGUAGCGGUGAAAUGCGCAGAGAUAUGGAGGAACACCAGUGGCGAAGGCGACUUUCUGGUCUGUAACUGACGCUGAUGUGCGAAAGCGUGGGGAUCAAACAGGAUUAGAUACCCUGGUAGUCCACGCCGUAAACGAUGAGUGCUAAGUGUUAGGGGGUUUCCGCCCCUUAGUGCUGCAGCUAACGCAUUAAGCACUCCGCCUGGGGAGUACGACCGCAAGGUUGAAACUCAAAGGAAUUGACGGGGACCCGCACAAGCGGUGGAGCAUGUGGUUUAAUUCGAAGCAACGCGAAGAACCUUACCAAAUCUUGACAUCCUUUGACAACUCUAGAGAUAGAGCCUUCCCCUUCGGGGGACAAAGUGACAGGUGGUGCAUGGUUGUCGUCAGCUCGUGUCGUGAGAUGUUGGGUUAAGUCCCGCAACGAGCGCAACCCUUAAGCUUAGUUACCAUCAUUAAGUUGGGCACUCUAAGUUGACUGCCGGUGACAAACCGGAGGAAGGUGGGGAUGACGUCAAAUCAUCAUGCCCCUUAUGAUUUGGGCUACACACGUGCUACAAUGGACAAUACAAAGGGCAGCGAAACCGCGAGGUCAAGCAAAUCCCAUAAAGUUGUUCUCAGUUCGGAUUGUAGUCUGCAACUCGACUACAUGAAGCUGGAAUCGCUAGUAAUCGUAGAUCAGCAUGCUACGGUGAAUACGUUCCCGGGUCUUGUACACACCGCCCGUCACACCACGAGAGUUUGUAACACCCGAAGCCGGUGGAGUAACCUUUUAGGAGCUAGCCGUCGAAGGUGGGACAAAUGAUUGGGGUGAAGUCGUAACAAGGUAGCCGUAUCGGAAGGUGCGGCUGGAUCACCU
RNAcentral lists this ribosomal RNA (1540 nucleotides) under Staphylococcus aureus. RNAcentral describes it as "16S ribosomal RNA". It matches the Rfam family "Bacterial small subunit ribosomal RNA". The record is from RNAcentral. Lineage: Bacteria; Bacillati; Bacillota; Bacilli; Caryophanales; Staphylococcaceae.